UCGGGAAUAUUGCGCAAUGGAGGAAACUCUGACGCAGUGACGCCGCGUGCAGGAAGAAGGUUUUCGGAUUGUAAACUGCUUUAGACAGGGAAGAAACAAGACAGUACCUGUAGAAUAAGCUCCGGCUAACUACGUGCCAGCAGCCGCGGUAAUACGUAGGGAGCAAGCGUUAUCCGGAUUUAUUGGGUGUAAAGGGUGCGUAGACGGGAAUGCAAGUUGGUUGUGAAAUCCCUCGGCUCAACCGAGGAAUUGCAACCAAAACUAUAUUUCUUGAGUGCUGGAGAGGAAAGUGGAAUUCCUAGUGUAGCGGUGAAAUGCGUAGAUAUUAGGAGGAACACCAGUGGCGAAGGCGACUUUCCGGACAGUAACUGACGUUGAGGCACGAAAGUGUGGGGAGCAAACAGGAUUAGAUACCC
Molecule: ribosomal RNA, 416 nt
Filed under: uncultured bacterium
Lineage: Bacteria
Description: bacterial SSU rRNA
Rfam family: Bacterial small subunit ribosomal RNA
Source: RNAcentral